This 1062-nucleotide ribosomal RNA is filed under the name Salmonella enterica subsp. enterica serovar Paratyphi A. RNAcentral describes it as "partial 23S ribosomal RNA". It matches the Rfam family "Bacterial large subunit ribosomal RNA", at positions 210 to 1308 of the family's 2925-position model. Lineage: Bacteria; Pseudomonadati; Pseudomonadota; Gammaproteobacteria; Enterobacterales; Enterobacteriaceae. The record is from RNAcentral.
CCCGAGGAAAAGAAAUCAACCGAGAUUCCCCCAGUAGCGGCGAGCGAACGGGGAGGAGCCCAGAGCCUGAAUCAGCAUGUGUGUUAGUGGAAGCGUCUGGAAAGGCGCGCGAUACAGGGUGACAGCCCCGUACACAAAAGCGCAUGUGCUGUGAGCUCGAUGAGUAGGGCGGGACACGUGGUAUCCUGUCUGAAUAUGGGGGGACCAUCCUCCAAGGCUAAAUACUCCUGACUGACCGAUAGUGAACCAGUACCGUGAGGGAAAGGCGAAAAGAACCCCGGCGAGGGGAGUGAAAAAGAACCUGAAACCGUGUACGUACAAGCAGUGGGAGCACAGGUUUACCUGUGUGACUGCGUACCUUUUGUAUAAUGGGUCAGCGACUUAUAUUCUGUAGCAAGGUUAACCGUAUAGGGGAGCCGGAGGGAAACCGAGUCUUAACCGGGCGUUAAGUUGCAGGGUAUAGACCCGAAACCCGGUGAUCUAGCCAUGGGCAGGUUGAAGGUUGGGUAACACUAACUGGAGGACCGAACCGACUAAUGUUGAAAAAUUAGCGGAUGACCUGUGGCUGGGGGUGAAAGGCCAAUCAAACCGGGAGAUAGCUGGUUCUCCCCGAAAGCUAUUUAGGUAGCGCCUCGUGAAUUCAUCUCCGGGGGUAGAGCACUGUUUCGGCUAGGGGGCCAUCCCGGCUUACCAACCCGAUGCAAACUGCGAAUACCGGAGAAUGUUAUCACGGGAGACACACGGCGGGUGCUAACGUCCGUCGUGAAGAGGGAAACAACCCAGACCGCCAGCUAAGGUCCCAAAGUCAUGGUUAAGUGGGAAACGAUGUGGGAAGGCCCAGACAGCCAGGAUGUUGGCUUAGAAGCAGCCAUCAUUUAAAGAAAGCGUAAUAGCUCACUGGUCGAGUCGGCCUGCGCGGAAGAUGUAACGGGGCUAAACCAUGCACCGAAGCUGCGGCAGCGACACUCAGGUGUUGUUGGGUAGGGGAGCGUUCUGUAAGCCUGUGAAGGUGGCCUGUGAGGGUUGCUGGAGGUAUCAGAAGUGCGAAUGCUGACAUAAGUA